AAAUUGAAGAGUUUGAUCAUGGCUCAGAUUGAACGCUGGCGGCAGGCCUAACACAUGCAAGUCGAACGGUAGCACAGAGAGCUUGCUCUCGGGUGACGAGUGGCGGACGGGUGAGUAAUGUCUGGGAAACUGCCUGAUGGAGGGGGAUAACUACUGGAAACGGUAGCUAAUACCGCAUAACGUCGCAAGACCAAAGAGGGGGACCUUCGGGCCUCUUGCCAUCAGAUGUGCCCAGAUGGGAUUAGCUAGUAGGUGGGGUAACGGCUCACCUAGGCGACGAUCCCUAGCUGGUCUGAGAGGAUGACCAGCCACACUGGAACUGAGACACGGUCCAGACUCCUACGGGAGGCAGCAGUGGGGAAUAUUGCACAAUGGGCGCAAGCCUGAUGCAGCCAUGCCGCGUGUAUGAAGAAGGCCUUCGGGUUGUAAAGUACUUUCAGCGGGGAGGAAGGUGUUGUGGUUAAUAACCUCAGCAAUUGACGUUACCCGCAGAAGAAGCACCGGCUAACUCCGUGCCAGCAGCCGCGGUAAUACGGAGGGUGCAAGCGUUAAUCGGAAUUACUGGGCGUAAAGCGCACGCAGGCGGUCUGUCAAGUCGGAUGUGAAAUCCCCGGGCUCAACCUGGGAACUGCAUUCGAAACUGGCAGGCUAGAGUCUUGUAGAGGGGGGUAGAAUUCCAGGUGUAGCGGUGAAAUGCGUAGAGAUCUGGAGGAAUACCGGUGGCGAAGGCGGCCCCCUGGACAAAGACUGACGCUCAGGUGCGAAAGCGUGGGAGCAAACAGGAUUAGAUACCCUGGUAGUCCACGCCGUAAACGAUGUCGACUUGGAGGUUGUGCCCUUGAGGCGUGGCUUCCGGAGCUAACGCGUUAAGUCGACCGCCUGGGGAGUACGGCCGCAAGGUUAAAACUCAAAUGAAUUGACGGGGGCCCGCACAAGCGGUGGAGCAUGUGGUUUAAUUCGAUGCAACGCGAAGAACCUUACCUACUCUUGACAUCCAGAGAACUUAGCAGAGAUGCUUUGGUGCCUUCGGGAACUCUGAGACAGGUGCUGCAUGGCUGUCGUCAGCUCGUGUUGUGAAAUGUUGGGUUAAGUCCCGCAACGAGCGCAACCCUUAUCCUUUGUUGCCAGCGGUCCGGCCGGGAACUCAAAGGAGACUGCCAGUGAUAAACUGGAGGAAGGUGGGGAUGACGUCAAGUCAUCAUGGCCCUUACGAGUAGGGCUACACACGUGCUACAAUGGCGCAUACAAAGAGAAGCGACCUCGCGAGAGCAAGCGGACCUCAUAAAGUGCGUCGUAGUCCGGAUUGGAGUCUGCAACUCGACUCCAUGAAGUCGGAAUCGCUAGUAAUCGUAGAUCAGAAUGCUACGGUGAAUACGUUCCCGGGCCUUGUACACACCGCCCGUCACACCAUGGGAGUGGGUUGCAAAAGAAGUAGGUAGCUUAACCUUCGGGAGGGCGCUUACCACUUUGUGAUUCAUGACUGGGGUGAAGUCGUAACAAGGUAACCGUAGGGGAACCUGCGGUUGGAUCACCUCCUUACCUUAAAGAA
RNAcentral lists this ribosomal RNA (1549 nucleotides) under Enterobacter sichuanensis. RNAcentral describes it as "bacterial SSU rRNA". It matches the Rfam family "Bacterial small subunit ribosomal RNA". The record is from RNAcentral. Lineage: Bacteria; Pseudomonadati; Pseudomonadota; Gammaproteobacteria; Enterobacterales; Enterobacteriaceae.